GAUGAACGCUGGCGGCGUGCCUAAUACAUGCAAGUCGAGCGAACAGAUGAGGAGCUUGCUCCUCUGACGUUAGCGGCGGACGGGUGAGUAACACGUGGAUACCCUACCUAUAAGACUGGGAUAACUACGGGAAACCGGAGCUCAUACCGGAUGAUAUAUUGAACCGCAUGGUUCAAUAGUGAAAGACGGUUUUGCUGUUACUUAUAGAUUGAUUCGCGUCGCAUUAGCUAGUUGGUAAGGUAACGGCUUACCAAGGCAACGAUGCGUAGCCGACCUGAGAGGGUGAUCGGCCACACUGGAACUGAGACACGGUCCAGACUCCUACGGGAGGCAGCAGUGGGGAAUCUUCCACAAUGGGCGAAAGCCUGACGGAGCAACGCCGCGUGAGGGAUGAAAGUCUUCGGAUCGUAAAACUCUGUUAUUAGGGAAGAACAAAUGUGUGAGUAACUAUGCACGCCUUGACGGUACCUAAUCAGAAAGCCACGGCUAACUACGUG
This 497-nucleotide ribosomal RNA is filed under the name uncultured bacterium. RNAcentral describes it as "partial 16S ribosomal RNA". It matches the Rfam family "Bacterial small subunit ribosomal RNA", at positions 28 to 507 of the family's 1533-position model. The record is from RNAcentral.